Saccoglossus kowalevskii is the source of this 303-nucleotide long non-coding RNA. The record is from RefSeq and is a predicted model, not a curated record. Lineage: Eukaryota; Metazoa; Hemichordata; Enteropneusta; Harrimaniidae.
UGUGUGCCAUGUCCCCAGAAUUGUACCUGCAGUACAACACCAGACAAUAAUGGCGUGUCGAAUUUCUGUGCCAUCGACUGUCAACAUAGCUCUCUAAGCUCAUUGCCUGUAGUGGAAAACUCACUUAGUAGCAGAGUCGUUCAUUUGACUGUUAGUCAUAAUAAUCUAUCCAAUGUUGCAGCUGACUCCUUCCAAGCCUUUCUGAAUCUUGAAAGACUAAACCUUGAAUACAAUCAACUAAGUUCCCUACCUCUAGGAUGCCUAGAGUCUCUGACGAACCUCCAGUCUCUGGAUGUGAGCAAC